GAAUCAGGACUGCACCAGCACCAGAGCUCCUGUUGUUUGUGUCAUCCCUAUUGACUCCCUCACACAGAGGAGGCCUGAGAGUGUGGAGGGACUGACAGCAUGAGCUCCUGCUUCGUGACCUGGAAGUUGGAGGUCAGGACCCAGGAAGUGUGCAGCUCUGUCUUUCUGAGGGUCAGAGCUCUCUCAGGGCAAGGACAUGGUGCCCAGGUCUCUGCUGACUGAGCACUGAGCUGCCAAGUGCUUGAUUUGAGGCCCAGGCAAUCAAACUCUUUCCAGUCUCCUUCCCAAUGAGCACUUUAGACCGGGCAUGAGAUGAGAUUCUAUCCAAUGACACAUGAGUUAUCCUGGAAGUCAACUGGAAUGGAUUUUCCCAGCUCUUGAAAAGAACUGUUUGAAAAACAGUCCCUUUUCCUGCCUUUUGAUGCUGCACCUUCACAUAUCAUCUGGAAAUGUUACAGUGGUCUUGGGAUCCAAAGGAGAACCAGUCCAAAAAAUGAACUUAAUACCCUCAGGAUGGAAAAGUAAGCAGAUGGAAACAACCCGGUCCUUUGAUGCCACUGAAUCAACCGGACCCCAAACUAGUAUGUUCCCACACUUAUUGGGAUGUGAGAGCAUGCAAUUUUAUUAUCAUUAAAGCUAUGUUUAGUUCGGCCUUCCAUUACCUGCAGUCGGAAGCAUCCCAACCAAUACACAAAAGGAGGAGAAGAGGGUGAAUAGCUCCAGCCAAGCAUGUUGAGUGGGAAGUUGCCUCAUGGUAAAUAAAUGGGUAGACACACA
Non-coding RNA from Macaca mulatta (Rhesus monkey), 777 nucleotides. Lineage: Eukaryota; Metazoa; Chordata; Mammalia; Primates; Cercopithecidae. The record is from RefSeq and is a predicted model, not a curated record.